CCUACGGGUGGCAGCAGUGAGGAAUAUUGGUCAAUGGACGCAAGUCUGAACCAGCCAUGCCGCGUGCAGGAAGACGGCUCUAUGGGUUGUAAACUUCUUUUGUACGAGAAUAAACGCAGAUACGCGUGUCUGUCUGAAUGUAUCGUACGAAUAAGGAUCGGCUAACUCCGUGCCAGCAGCCGCGGUAAUACGGAGGAUUCAAGCGUUAUCCGGAUUUAUUGGGUUUAAAGGGUGCGUAGGCGGUCGUAUAAGUUAGCGGUGAAAGCCCGUGGCUCAACUUCGGAAUUGCCGUUGAUACUGGUCGGCUAGAGAGUAUUUGCGGUAGGCGGAAUGCAUGGUGUAGCGGUGAAAUGCUUAGAGAUCAUGCAGAACACCGAUUGCGAAGGCAGCUUACCAAGCUACUUCUGACGCUGAGGCACGAAAGCGUGGGGAGCAAACAGGAUUAGAUACCCUGGUAGUC
This 460-nucleotide ribosomal RNA is filed under the name uncultured bacterium. RNAcentral's name for it is "partial 16S ribosomal RNA". It matches the Rfam family "Bacterial small subunit ribosomal RNA", at positions 338 to 795 of the family's 1533-position model. The record is from RNAcentral.